RNAcentral lists this ribosomal RNA (497 nucleotides) under uncultured bacterium. RNAcentral's name for it is "partial 16S ribosomal RNA". It matches the Rfam family "Bacterial small subunit ribosomal RNA", at positions 28 to 507 of the family's 1533-position model. The record is from RNAcentral.
GAUGAACGCUGGCGGCGUGCCUAAUACAUGCAAGUCGAGCGAACAGAUGAGGAGCUUGCUCCUCUGACGUUAGCGGCGGACGGGUGAGUAACACGUGGAUAACCUACCUAUAAGACUGGGAUAACUUCGGGAAACCGGAGCUAAUACCGGAUAAUAUAUUGAACCGCAUGGUUCAAUAGUGAAAGACGGUUUUGCUGUCACUUAUAGAUGGAUCCGCGCCGCAUUAGCUAGUUGGUAAGGUAACGGCUUACCAAGGCAACGAUGCGUAGCCGACCUGAGAGGGUGAUCGGCCACACUGGAACUGAGACCCGGUCAAGACUCCUACGGGAGGCAGCAGUAGGGAAUCUUCCGCAAUGGGCGAAAGCCUGACGGAGCAACGCCGCGUGAGUGAUGAAGGUCUUCGGAUCGUAAAACUCUGUUAUUAGGGAAGAACAAAUGUGUAAGUAACUAUGCACGUCUUGACGGUACCUAAUCAGAAAGCCACGGCUAACUACGUG